Small nucleolar RNA from Cynoglossus semilaevis (tongue sole), 146 nucleotides. The record is from Ensembl. Lineage: Eukaryota; Metazoa; Chordata; Actinopteri; Pleuronectiformes; Cynoglossidae.
CUUCAGUGAUGAUCGAUGACGAGUCAGAACUGCUCUCUGACUCUGCUGGUCUCUGGUUCAAGGUUCACGUUCUGUGAAUUUUGCUCCAGUUCCUUCAGAGAAGUGAGUGUUUCAUGUGAAGACAUCGAGGCAUUUGUCUGAGAAGG